RNAcentral lists this ribosomal RNA (254 nucleotides) under uncultured bacterium. RNAcentral describes it as "partial 16S ribosomal RNA". It matches the Rfam family "Bacterial small subunit ribosomal RNA", at positions 524 to 776 of the family's 1533-position model. The record is from RNAcentral.
CACGUAGGGGGCAAGCGUUGUCCGGAUUUAUUGGGCGUAAAGAGCUCGUAGGCGGUUCGGUAAGUCGGGUGUGAAACCUCCAGGCUCAACCUGGAGACGCCACCCGAUACUGCUGUGACUAGAGUCCGGUAGGGGAGCGUGGAAUUCCUGGUGUAGCGGUGAAAUGCGCAGAUAUCAGGAGGAACACCGGUGGCGAAGGCGGUGAUCUGGGCCAGUACUGACGCUGAGGAGCGAAAGCGCGGGUAGCAAACGGG